CCCCAUCCAGCCUCCUUCCCCCAUCCAGUCGCCAUCCCCCAUCCAGCCUCCUUCCCCCAUCCAGCCUCCUACCCCCAUCCAGCCUCCUUCCCCCAUCCAGCCUCCUUCCCCCAUCCAGCCGCCAUCCCCCAUCCAGCCGCCAUCCCCACCUUCGGAAUGGGCAGCAGAGGCCCCGGAGGCACUUCUGGGAGGUGAUCAAGUGGCACAGGACAAUGUUGCAGUUGGAGAUCCCACAACUUUUGCGGGCAUUCUGGCCACCAUGCGGCAAAAUCUCGAAGCCUUGCUGGCUAAUGUGGACCAGCUGCAAAAAUUUGCAUAAUUUUUAUUUAUAAACAUUUUAUAUUUUCAGUUUAAAAAAAAAAAUAUAUGACAAACAAUAAAAACUAUAUAUUUCAA
Molecule: long non-coding RNA, 396 nt
Organism: Pseudophryne corroboree (corroboree frog)
Lineage: Eukaryota; Metazoa; Chordata; Amphibia; Anura; Myobatrachidae
Exons: 2
Source: RefSeq, a predicted model, not a curated record